GACGAACGCUGGCGGCGUGCUUAACACAUGCAAGUCGAACGGUAAGGCCCUUCGGGGUACACGAGUGGCGAACGGGUGAGUAACACGUGGGUGAUCUGCCCUGCACUUCGGGAUAAGCCUGGGAAACUGGGUCUAAUACCGGAUAGGACUCCUGGCUUCAUGGCUGGGGGGGGAAAGCUUUUGCGGUGUGGGAUGGGCCCGCGGCCUAUCAGCUUGUUGGUGGGGUAAUGGCCUACCAAGGCGACGACGGGUAGCCGGCCUGAGAGGGUGACCGGUCACACUGGGACUGAGAUACGGCCCAGACUCCUACGGGAGGCAGCAGUGGGGAAUAUUGCACAAUGGGUGCAAGCCUGAUGCAGCGACGCCGCGUGAGGGAUGACGGCCUUCGGGUUGUAAACCUCUUUCAGCUAUGACGAAGCGCAAGUGACGGUAGUAGCAGAAGAAGGACCGGCCAACUACGUGCCAGCCGCCGCCGUAA
Molecule: ribosomal RNA, 478 nt
Filed under: uncultured bacterium
Lineage: Bacteria
Description: partial 16S ribosomal RNA
Rfam family: Bacterial small subunit ribosomal RNA
Source: RNAcentral